AGUGUUUUCUGUGCUUGUCAAGUAGAGUUAGCUUCGUUUUCAAAAUUCAUUUAGCCAACUUGUUUAUUUUUGAAUUUGCAGAAUAGAAAUUACUGAAAUGAAUAAAAUGCAUGUGUCGUAAAGCUGGAUGGAAAUUAUUUUAAUUGCAUAUUCUCUAUCUGCUGUUUAGUUUCAUGAACAGAAUUGUGAGAAAAAUGAACCUUUCAUUAUUACUGAUCUAUAUUACUACAGGUGCAGCUGUUGAUGAGAUUGAAUACAGCGAGAAGUGUUACCACUUUGAAUAUGACUAUUUUUGGGACAAGUGAGACAUGCUAUUGCUCGAAGAAGUUUGAGAAUGAGAAGGAAGAAGAGUCAGGGGAUGAAAUCACAAGAGAUUUGUGGAAAUUGCAUGUAGAGAAAAGAAGUAAUUCCACUUGAACAAAAUCAACUACGCCUACAUAUGAUAGAAAACAAUAAAUUCCAGGCAAAGCAAGACUUUCCGCUGAAAAUUUGUUCAGGGGACUUAGAAGAAAAUCAAGAUGAUGACGAUCAGAGAGGAAGGAACUACUCAAUCGAUGGACAUUUCAGAUGAAUAACAUGAAAGUGGUAAUUUGUGACGAUUACGAAGAUGAAACGAGAGAAAAGAAGUAAUUCCACUUGGACAAAAUUAUCUGGAAGAAAAUUUUCAGCUCCUCCAAUGGUAACGGAUAUCGAGACGACAAGAUUUUUUUACUAGGUUUUAGGUAAGAACGGGAAAAGAAUGGAGCAGCCAGAGUUAUGGAGAUGGAAAUCUGAACAUUUCAAGCAGCCAAUCCUGAAGUAAAGAGAAAAGGACUGGAGUUGGAGUAUACAUGAACCUUAGCAACGGCAUAGAGAAAAAUUUAUUCUAAAUAUUGAAAACAUUAAUCGGGCUGGUCUACUUUGAAGCACUGCUAUCUAGUGGACAAUUCUAGAAGGCGAAAGAUUCAAUAUUCAGAUAUUCCUACUCAUGAUGACUAAUUGGUCAAUGAUGUCGUUCUUGCGAUGAGGAACAUCCCAAAGAUCUUGUAGGAAGAACCUGAAAGGAAUACAAACUGUGCAUAGAGGGUCCAGACGUCCGUGCAGGUCACCGAAGAGUCGUCCAGUAUAGUCGUCCAGUAUAAUCUCUCAUAAUGUAAUAAUUAUGCCUCAAUAAAGUGUCCACUGUCGUUCUCU
Molecule: long non-coding RNA, 1173 nt
Organism: Coccinella septempunctata (seven-spotted ladybird)
Lineage: Eukaryota; Metazoa; Arthropoda; Insecta; Coleoptera; Coccinellidae
Exons: 9
Source: RefSeq, a predicted model, not a curated record